UGGUAGUCCACGCCGUAAACGAUGUCGACUUGGAGGUUGUGCCCUUGAGGCGUGGCUUCCGGAGCUAACGCGUUAAGUCGACCGCCUGGGGAGUACGGCCGCAAGGUUAAAACUCAAAUGAAUUGACGGGGGCCCGCACAAGCGGUGGAGCCAUGUGGUUUAAUUCGAUGCAACGCGAAGAACCUUACCUGGUCUUGACAUCCACGGAAGUUUUCAGAGAUGAGAAUGUGCUUCGGGAACCGUGAGACAGGUGCUGCAUGGCUGUCGUCAGCUCGUGUUGUGAAAUGUUGGGUUAAGUCCCGCAACGAGCGCAACCCUUAUCCUUUGUUGCCAGCGGUCCGGCCGGGAACUCAAAGGAGACUGCCAGUGAUAAACUGGAGGAAGGUGGGGAUGACGUCAAGUCAUCAUGGCCCUUACGACCAGGGCUACACACGUGCUACAAUGGCGCAUACAAAGAGAAGCGACCUCGCGAGAGCAAGCGGACCUCAUAAAGUGCGUCGUAGUCCGGAUUGGAGUCUGCAACUCGACUCCAUGAAGUCGGAAUCGCUAGUAAUCGUGGAUCAGAAUGCCACGGUGAAUACGUUCCCGGCCUU
RNAcentral lists this ribosomal RNA (593 nucleotides) under uncultured bacterium. RNAcentral describes it as "bacterial SSU rRNA". It matches the Rfam family "Bacterial small subunit ribosomal RNA", at positions 788 to 1382 of the family's 1533-position model. The record is from RNAcentral.